AGACCGGCCAGAUGAGGGGAUGAUGGACUUGCCUGCUUGACUCGUUCCUGUACUUUUAUCCCAACAAAACAUGACACACACCGAGAUGUGAAAGCUGUCAACUUUUCUUUGUAAAUGUUUCUACCCAGGAAGACAUGAUUUCACCCACCAUGAAGCCUUCUGGAAGCACAUUCCUCUGACGCUGCAGCAGCGAAGGAAAGAUGGAAAGGAGAAGUUAUCAUUUCUUUCUCAAGAUCCUGGCCCCAUGAGCCUCAGUGUAGCCCUAGUUCCUGGGAUCAGCACCAACAGGCAGGGAAGAGAGGCUCUGGCGCCCUGCAGACAGCACCAGGUUCUUGGCAUCAGGAGCUGGAUCCAGAGUCCCUGAUAAUCCCAGCCACAGAAUAUCUCAAACUCACCAACAUGUCCUCUAAAUAUCAGCUAUGAAAAGGCUUCCACUCUUGCACCUGUCUUGCUAUUAUUUUACAGAUGUGUUCUAAAAGCUAUAAAGACAGAAAUCGC
RNAcentral lists this non-coding RNA (498 nucleotides) under Pan troglodytes (chimpanzee). The record is from RNAcentral. Lineage: Eukaryota; Metazoa; Chordata; Mammalia; Primates; Hominidae.